AGCAGCCGCGGUAAUUCCAGCUCCAAUAGCGUAUAUUAAAGUUGUUGCAGUUAAAAAGCUCGUAGUUGAAUUUCGGGAUUGACACAUCGGUCGUGCCUUAAGGGGUAUGAACUGGUGUAGUCAAUUUCUCACCUUCUGGAGAACCGCGAUGCCCUUAAUUGGGUGUCACGGGGAACCAGGACCUUUACUUUGAAAAAUUAGAGUGUUUAAAGCAGGCAUUUUGCUUGAAUACAUUAGCAUGGAAUAAUAAAAUAGGACGGCAUGAUUCCAUUUUGUUGGUUUCUAGGAUCACCGUAAUGAUUAAUAGGGAUAGUUGGGGGCAUUAGUAUUCAAUUGUCAGAGGUGAAAUUCUUGGAUUUAUUGAAGACUAACUACUGCGAAAGCAUUUGCCAAGGAUGUUUUCAUUAAUCAAGAACGAAAGUUAGGGGAUCAAGGACGAUCAGAUACCGUCGUAGUCUUAACCAUAAACUAUGCCGACUAGGAAUCAGACGAUGUAAUUUUUUAAUGACUCGUUUGGCAC
This 520-nucleotide ribosomal RNA is filed under the name uncultured Glomeromycotina. RNAcentral describes it as "SSU rRNA". It matches the Rfam family "Eukaryotic small subunit ribosomal RNA", at positions 569 to 1086 of the family's 1831-position model. Lineage: Eukaryota; Fungi; Glomeromycota. The record is from RNAcentral.